Long non-coding RNA from Oncorhynchus tshawytscha (Chinook salmon), 646 nucleotides. The record is from Ensembl. Lineage: Eukaryota; Metazoa; Chordata; Actinopteri; Salmoniformes; Salmonidae.
AUUUUGGAAGAUGAUUUGAAAUCGUGGAGCUAUUGAAUACACAUCGCCCCGUGAUCAAUUUGAUAGAUUAUUAACGUUUACUGAUACCUAAAGUUGGAUUACAAAAGUAUUUCGAAGUGUUUUGUGAAAGUUUAUCGUCAACUUUUUUAAUUUUAAAAAAUGACGUAGCGUUUUCAAACGGUGUUUUUUUCUGAAUCACACAGUUUCCAUAGAUGGCUAUUUUGGGUAUAUAUGGACCGAUUUAAUCGGAAAAAAAGACCCAAUAGUGAUGUUUAUGGGACAUAUAGGAGUGCCAACAAAGAAGCUCGUCAAAGGGAAAGUCAUGUUAGCUGAUAUCUGAUAGCUAAUAUCAUCCUUCUCUUGGGUGUUGUCUACUUGUGGACCCUGGGGAAACGCCAGCAUGAAGGCAUGAACGGCAACGGAGAUGCUCUGCAGCACUGACCGCGUUCAGAGGAAUAAUCCAUCUCUAUUCCAUCUGCCGCCUUUUUCACCUCGCUUUCCCAGACGAAAAUGGACAAAUAUAUAUCCUGAGCCAGAGAAAUGGAGCUAACAGUCCUGCCUCUCUGUUGCUCUCUCUCUCACGCACAUGCUUCACACUUCCAGGGCUGAGGCCACAACUCUUCUUCUCCUGCCACUGACAUUCUGG